This 486-nucleotide ribosomal RNA is filed under the name Pseudomonas aeruginosa. Its description in RNAcentral is "bacterial SSU rRNA". It matches the Rfam family "Bacterial small subunit ribosomal RNA", at positions 12 to 496 of the family's 1533-position model. The record is from RNAcentral. Lineage: Bacteria; Pseudomonadati; Pseudomonadota; Gammaproteobacteria; Pseudomonadales; Pseudomonadaceae.
UUUGAUCAUGCUCAGAUUGAACGCUGGCGGCAGGCCUAACACAUGCAAGUCGAGCGGAUGAAGGGAGCUUGCUCCUGGAUUCAGCGGCGGACGGGUGAGUAAUGCCUAGGAAUCUGCCUGGUAGUGGGGGAUAACGUCCGGAAACGGGCGCUAAUACCGCAUACGUCCUGAGGGAGAAAGUGGGGGAUCUUCGGACCUCACGCUAUCAGAUGAGCCUAGGUCGGAUUAGCUAGUUGGUGGGGUAAAGGCCUACCAAGGCGACGAUCCGUAACUGGUCUGAGAGGAUGAUCAGUCACACUGGAACUGAGACACGGUCCAGACUCCUACGGGAGGCAGCAGUGGGGAAUAUUGGACAAUGGGCGAAAGCCUGAUCCAGCCAUGCCGCGUGUGUGAAGAAGGUCUUCGGAUUGUAAAGCACUUUAAGUUGGGAGGAAGGGCAGUAAGUUAAUACCUUGCUGUUUGACGUACCAACAGAAUAAGCACCGG